UACGUAGGGGGCAAGCGUUGUCCGGAUUUAUUGGGCGUAAAGAGCGCGUAGGCGGUCCGAUAAGUCGGCUGUGAAAGUCAGGGGCUCAACCCUUGAAAGCCGGCCGAUACUGUCGGACUAGAGUCCGGAAGAGGCGAGUGGAAUUCCCGGUGUAGCGGUGAAAUGCGCAGAUAUCGGGAGGAACACCGGUGGCGAAGGCGGUUCUCUGGGCCUGACCUGACGCUGAGGAGCGAAAGCGUGGGGAGCGAACAGG
Molecule: ribosomal RNA, 253 nt
Filed under: uncultured bacterium
Lineage: Bacteria
Description: partial 16S ribosomal RNA
Rfam family: Bacterial small subunit ribosomal RNA
Source: RNAcentral